UCUCGAAACGUGACGAUGCAACGUGCAGAGGACGCUAAUGACGCUUACGCGAAAAAAAUAGUACCGUCAAAUUUGUUCAAAACGAGCGAUGAGAGACGACGAAUUGUUGACCGAAACGCAAGAGAUUUCCGACAUCGUGCCGAACAUGGAGUUAACCAUCGACCCAGAGAAACAGAGGUUUCCGUUCUGCAUAGUCUGGACACCGUUACCGAUACUGACAUACUUUUUACCGUUCAUCGGUCACAUGGGCAUCGCCACUUCUACCGGCGUGAUUCGAGAUUUCGCUGGUCCUUAUCAUGUGUCCGAGGAUAACAUGGCGUUUGGGAAACCUACGAAGUACUGGCAAUUGAACCACGCCAAAGCCAAAGGCGGUGUUCGAGGCUGGGACUCGGCCGUUGCGGAAGCUAGUGAGAUUUACAAAACUAGAAUGCACAAUCUAUGUUGUGACAACUGUCACUCGCACGUUGCCACAUCGCUUAAUCUGAUGUGCUAUGAUAAUUCGAGUAGCUGGAACAUGGUAAAGCUAGCGUUCCUUAUGCUCGUGCACGGCAAAUACGUGAGCUUUCUUGGAUUUCUCAAAACAUGGGUGCCAUUCUUUCUUCUCGUUGCGAUUGUAACCUUAUUUAGUUUAUUCGUACGGUAAUUUGAGUACUGCAGCUACCUGAUAAAUAGCCGCUGCUUAACAGCACGGUGUCUGAACGGUAUCGGAUCGUCGUCGAAUUUUUAACAUAGGUGCCGUGCUGUUAAGCGGAUGACAGCCUUUCGAAGCGGGAAACCAUCGAAUGAAAAUAGCCAGCCAUUUGGUAACUUGAACUUUAUUACAAACGUGUGUCGACGCUCUAAACACUCACAUUACAAAUACACAAUGUCGUGACACUUACAAAGUAAACUUAACGUAUCGAAACAUUAUUCGCUAUAUAUUACGAUACAGGCGUAUCGAGUCGUAUCGUUCCUUUUAAGAAAUAAACUUGUACUCGAGUUUUAUCGAGUACUCGAGUA
This 999-nucleotide unclassified non-coding RNA is filed under the name Megachile rotundata (alfalfa leafcutting bee). RNAcentral's name for it is "transmembrane protein 222, transcript variant X1". The record is from RNAcentral. Lineage: Eukaryota; Metazoa; Arthropoda; Insecta; Hymenoptera; Megachilidae.